GGCCCGGCCGGGCGGUCCGCCCACAGGGCGAGCACUGCUCGUGCGUCGGGUCCCACCUUCUGGCGAGCGCGGAUGCCAUUAAGUUGGUGUCCGCGGGAACCAGGACCUUUACCUUGAAAAAAUUAGAGUGUUUAAAGCAGGCUUCGACGCUUGAAUACAUUAGCAUGGAAUAAUGAAAUAGGACGUUUGAUUCUAUUUUGUUGGUUUCUAGGAUCGACGUA
Molecule: ribosomal RNA, 221 nt
Filed under: uncultured Paraglomus
Lineage: Eukaryota; Fungi; Glomeromycota; Glomeromycetes; Paraglomerales; Paraglomeraceae
Description: partial 18S ribosomal RNA
Rfam family: Eukaryotic small subunit ribosomal RNA (bases 95-221)
Source: RNAcentral